Molecule: ribosomal RNA, 464 nt
Filed under: uncultured bacterium
Lineage: Bacteria
Description: partial 16S ribosomal RNA
Rfam family: Bacterial small subunit ribosomal RNA
Source: RNAcentral
CUACGGGGCGCAGCAGUGAGGAAUUUUGCGCAAUGGGGGAAACCCUGACGCAGCAACGCCGCGUGAGUGAAGAAGGCUUUCGGGUCGUAAAGCUCUGUCAAGUGGGAAAAAAGUCUCGUGGUUAAUAUCCACGGGAGUUGAUGGUACCAUUAAAGGAAGCACCAGCUAACUCCGUGCCAGCAGCCGCGGUAAUACGGAGGGUGCAAGCGUUGUUCGGAAUUAUUGGGCGUAAAGAGCGUGUAGGCGGCUUGGUAAGUCAGAUGUGAAAGCCCUGGGCUCAACUCAGGAAGUGCAUUUGAAACUACCUUGCUUGAGUAUGGGAGAGGAGAGUGGAAUUCCCAGUGUAGAGGUGAAAUUCGUAGAUAUUGGGAGGAACACCCGUGGCGAAGGCGACUCUCUGGACCAAUACUGACGCUGAGACGCGAAAGCGUGGGGAGCAAACAGGAUUAGAUACCCCGGUAGUC